CACACAUUUUUUAAACUAGAUACCCCAAUGAUGAUUGUGGUCAAGUUUGGUUCAAUUUGGCCCAGUAGUUUCAGAGGAGAAGAUUUUUGUAAAAGUUAACGACGCCGGACGACGGACGACAGACGACGGACGACGGACGCAAAGUGAUGGGAAAAGCUCACUUGGCCCUUCGGGCCAGGUGAGCUAAAAAUGUGGUCAGGGCCAUAUGAAUUAUUUGAGUUGGACUGGCUAAUGACAACAAAAACAAUUACUAUAUUAAUAUUGACUUGUCAUGCAUAAUUAUCUAGGAGCAGGUGAACUUACCAAUGAAACAGACCUAAGUCUGAAUUCACAUGAAAUGUGAAUUCAAUGCCAUAUACAAUUAAGUCAUACUGACAUAUACUCCUUUACACAGAAAAUUGAACUUGACCUGACCACUAAAGCAAGAUAAUAGAGGACAAUGAUCAGGCGACCAACGGCAUAAACAAAAUUUGAUAACUCAACCUAAAUAAGGGAUAAAGUACAAAUGUAUUUACAAUUAUAAAAGAGAUGGUUACUGUGGACCAUGGUCUUGAUUCAAGUAAGUGAAGAGAAAAUAUACUUGUAUGCUUAUAUUUGAGAUAAAUACAUGUAAAUAUGCAUAUAUGACAAUACAUUAAAUUUUUCAUGGAUUCUUGUAAUUAUAUAUUUGUUGGACUUUCUUUCUCUCUCACUUACAUCAUUUUAGUCAGUCACUUACUCAUUAAGAAUUUCUUUCUCUCUCACUUUCAUUAUUAAGUCAAUUAAUUAUGCCUUCUUUCCUCCUCUCUCACUUACAUUUUUACAUAGUCAUACAUUUAUACAUUGGGAUUUUUCUCUCACUUUCAUUAUUGCAGUCGGUCAUUUAUACAAUGGGAUUUUCUUUCUCUUUAUCUUCCAUUCAGACAUAUAUAAAUAUACAUUGGAUCAAUUAAAAUACCAUCUUCGCUAGCCAAGGGUUACGAUCCACUCCGGCUCUCUCAGCGAAGACGUCAAAAUACAUUCAAACAAACAAAAUCUCAUUUCUAGUAACACAUUGUGAGUAUACACAAACUCACAUACAGAAACUCAGUGGCGGAUCCAAGGGGGGGGUUCUGGGGGUUGGAACCCCCCCUUUUUUUUUGAAGAUCAAUGCAUUUGAAUGGGAGCAUAUAGUUGGAACCCCCCCUUUACUCUGGGUUAGGAACCCCCCUUUAAAAUGGCUGGAUCCGCCACUGAAACUUAGGUAAAAAUUGAAACAAAAAUAUGCAUUACAGACCUGUAAAUUCAGAAAUUAUUGUGAUGUCUAUAUUAAUGCGAAAAAAUAACAGUAUCCUUUUGAAAUAAUAAAAUCUUGCAUACAAAAUUCCAGUAGUGAUAUUUCUUCAUAAAAUUUCAUAAAAAACAAUAGCACUUAAUAAUAAGAUAUCACAUUUUUGCUAGUGGUCAAGAAUUCACAAUAAUAAAUGCAAGCAUUAAUUUCUGAAUAUGCAGUUAUCCAAUCAGUUAAAAGAAUAUCACAGUAUGAUAUUAAAAAUCCCAGUUAAAUACGUAUUUAGUACAUUGUGGACCUGUUUAUGUUUUAUCUGAUUAUCCAGAAUUUCAUAGAAUAUCAGUCUACUGGAUAUCCACUGGGAAGUUCAUCAUAAACAUCAGCCUAGUUGUUAGGGUUCUGUGAUCAUGAAUGUUUAGUAAAGAAUUUAUAAUAUAUAACUCCACCUAGUCCACACACUUCUAGAAGGAUUAUAACAAUUAAAAUCAUCUUGUUGGUCAUCACUCUGUAAAUAGGAAAAAAGUCAAGAUAUUUUCUGUUUGUAUG
RNAcentral lists this long non-coding RNA (1795 nucleotides) under Mytilus galloprovincialis (Mediterranean mussel). Lineage: Eukaryota; Metazoa; Mollusca; Bivalvia; Mytilida; Mytilidae. The record is from RNAcentral.